GAUUAACGCUGGCGGCGUGCCUAACACAUGCCAGUCGAGCGGCAGCGAGUUUUACACUGACUUCUGGAAGCUUCUAGUUGAAAGAGAAGAUUUAUUCAAGAAUUUUGUGUAAAAUGUCGGCGAGCGGCGGACGGCUGAGUAACGCGUGGGAACGUACCCCAAAGUGAGGGAUAACGCAUCGAAAGGUGUGCUAAUACCGCAUAUGGUCUUCGGAUUAAAGCCUUCGGGCGCUUUGGGAACGGCCUGCGUAAGAUUAGAUAGUUGGUGGGGUAAUGGCCUACCAAGUCGACGAUCUUUAACUGGUUUGAGAGGAUGAUCAGUCAGACUGGAACUGAGACACGGUCCAGACUCCUACGGGAGGCAGCAGUGAGGAAUCUUCCACAAUGGGCGAAAGCCUGAUGGAGCAACGCCGCGUGCAGGAUGAAGGCCUUCGGGUUGUAAACUGCUUUUAUAAGUGAGGAUUAUGACAGUAACUUAUGAAUAAGGAUCGGCUAACUACGUG
This 502-nucleotide ribosomal RNA is filed under the name uncultured bacterium. RNAcentral's name for it is "partial 16S ribosomal RNA". It matches the Rfam family "Bacterial small subunit ribosomal RNA", at positions 28 to 507 of the family's 1533-position model. The record is from RNAcentral.